RNAcentral lists this transfer RNA (72 nucleotides) under Phytophthora infestans (potato late blight agent). It matches the Rfam family "tRNA". From Rfam's summary of the family: Transfer RNA (tRNA) molecules are approximately 80 nucleotides in length. Lineage: Eukaryota; Oomycota; Peronosporomycetes; Peronosporales; Peronosporaceae. The record is from Rfam by way of RNAcentral.
GCUCUUAUGGUGUAAUGGUUAGCACUCUGGACUUUGAAUCCAGCGAUCCGGGUUCAAAUCCCGGUAGGAGUU